This 403-nucleotide ribosomal RNA is filed under the name uncultured bacterium. RNAcentral's name for it is "partial 16S ribosomal RNA". It matches the Rfam family "Bacterial small subunit ribosomal RNA", at positions 28 to 526 of the family's 1533-position model. The record is from RNAcentral.
GACGAACGCUGGCGGCGUGCCUAAUACAUGCAAGUCGAACGCAGUGGGGACGGGUGAGUAACACGUGGGUAACCUCCCAUCAGAGGGGAUAACACUUGGAAACAGGUGCUAAACCGAUAUUGACGGAUGGACCCGCGGUGCAUUACCUAGUGGGUGAGGUAACGUCUCACCAAGGCCACGAGGCAUAGCCGGCCUGAGAGGGUGUGCGGCCACACUGUGACUUAGACAAGGCCCAGACUCCUAAGAGAGGCAGCAGUAGGGAAUCUUCGGCAAUGGAGGAAAGUAUGACCGAGCAACGCCGCGUGAGUGAAGAAGGUUUUCGGAUCGUAAAACUCUGUUGUUAGAGAAGCGGUAUCUAACCAGAAAGCCACGGCUAACUACGUGCAAGCAGCCGCGGUAAUUC